UACGGAGGGAGCUAGCGUUGUUCGGAAUUACUGGGCGUAAAGCGCACGUAGGCGGAUAUUUAAGUCAGGGGUGAAAUCCCGCAGCUCAACUGCGGAACUGCCUUUGAUACUGGAUAUCUUGAGUAUGGAAGAGGUGAGUGGAAUUCCGAGUGUAGAGGUGAAAUUCGUAGAUAUUCGGAGGAACGCCAGUGGCGAAGGCGGCUCACUGGCCCGAAACUGACGCUGAGGUGCGAAAGCGUGGGUAGCAAACAGG
RNAcentral lists this unclassified non-coding RNA (253 nucleotides) under uncultured Alphaproteobacteria bacterium. Its description in RNAcentral is "contains 16S-23S intergenic spacer region". It matches the Rfam family "Bacterial small subunit ribosomal RNA", at positions 524 to 776 of the family's 1533-position model. The record is from RNAcentral. Lineage: Bacteria; Pseudomonadati; Pseudomonadota; Alphaproteobacteria.